CUCUGUAAACCGCUUAGAGAGGGCUGAAAGCCCUAUGAAGCGGUAUAUAAGUCUACUGCUAUUGCUAUUCUCUACCCCCAUACAUAUAUACCGGUACAUGUAAAGUUAACUUUCUAAUAUAUUACACUUGUUCUACUGUAGGAUGACAUAGAAAGAGAGCACCAGGUUGUCCAGUAAACCACCAAUACCUUUUAAGGGUGCCUCAACAUUCAGGGAUGAUAAAAGAAGAAACAGUUGAAAAGAAUAGGCAAGACGUACAAUAGAGUGCAAUAAAAAUCUGCCUGGUAAAUUUAACCCUUUUCGUAAUCCCAAAGGUGCUUUUUCAAGAGGCAACUGCACUUUCUUGUUUUUCUUUGAAGACGUAUCAAUUCUCAUUCAAGAAGUUUCUUCAAUUCUGACUGGAUGGUAGGAAAUGGAAGGAUUUUUGUAAUGUUUCAACAGGGUUUAUUUCUCUUCUGUUCUUCCCAGCUAUUUCUUCCCCUUGUUUUAUCUCCAUCCAGUUUUCAUCUUCUUUCUUUCCUCUCCCCUUCCCAGGGCAGCUCCACAUUCCCACAUCAUGUGGAAGGAGAGAAACAUGCUCAUGUGUAUGGGUUGUAUUUGAAGAUAGCAACUACAGUUAGUGUGUGUUCACACUAUCCUUGGCCCUCUGCUAUUAGGAAGAGGAAAGAAAGAAGCGUUACUUCACACUCAGCCACCUGUCUUUAUACUGGGCAAUGCUAGUGGGAAAGCAGCCUAAAUUUGGCUCUCUUUCUGCACAUUAUCUUUCAAUGCACAACCUUUUGUUCUUAACCAAGAAUGAGUUCAUCUGGGGACAAAAUAUCCACAAAUCAUCAUCAUCCAUUUGUAAUGAAGUUGUAGAUUUCAUAACACUAAUAUUUAGGGAAAAGCAGAGAACAUUUUUAUAUCAUAUGUUCCCAGGCUGAAAAAUGAAAUGUUAAUAUUUUUUAUUUAUAGGGAAAUUUGGUUAAGAGAGUUAACUCUGUUCAGAUGCAUAUUCUGACAGAUGGGGUGGGGAGAGUCAAGAGAAAAGACAAGACUUUCACUACUUGUCUCUCUUCUGACUUUGCCUUUUUUCAAUGUUCCAUUUUCUUUUCAUUUCUAACACCAUUUGUUAAAAACAAUGCUUCCUAAACUAGCAGAAUCGCCUUAGACAGCAAGAUGGGCCGCAUAUAUAUAUUUAAUAAAUAAAUGUAUAUGUACGGUAUGUAUUUUUUAAAAAUCCUGAACCUAAAAACAUUUUAUUGUGCAGCCCAAAGUGUUUUCUCCAGAAUAUUUUACUACUAAGAAUAGCCUGAGUGCAUGACUCAUCAUUCUGAGCAUGUUUCUUGAUUGAGGGGAUGGAGAACUAAAAGUCCAAAUCAUACAGAGAAAUUGCAGGCAAUCUCCUCAGCAGAUUUACCCAUUAGUCCAACAAAAAUCUUUGAUUAAAUCAUUUUUCACACUUCACUUAGAGCUUUCUCAUGCAAUACAACAUGAAAAUUAAGGUUUUAGAAAAGAUCUGGAUGUUUUGUUUGGGGAUUAGGCUGCAAAUUACAGCAUACAGAAUAUAAAUGGUGCCCUGUAAAUAAAUUUCAGCCUUUACAGCUGUCCUAUGACAGCCUAACCAAAAAGGAAAUCAUUUACAAGAACUUAGCACAAAUUACUUUCAAAAGUUUAACUUAGGAACCCUAUUGUGCUAUUCUUUCCUUACAUUUAAAGAAGAUAAUUUUAAUUUUCUGGAUUUUUUUCUAAUGAAAUGUAUUUCAACCUUUUGACAAGUGUUUCAGGUUAAGAAAAAAAAAUAAGAUUGGGCCAUGAGAAGAUGUAUAGAUUCCUUGUUAUAUUAUAAAUCAGGUUAUAUAAUAUUAAAAUAUAGGGCCAUGAUGGCGAACCUAUGGCCACUUGCCAGAGGUGGCACACAGAGUCCUCUCUGGGCAUGCACGCAGUCGUCAGCUGCUCUUCUGGUUUCCGGCAUACACAUCCAUUUUCCAGGGCAUUUUUAGGCCAUUUUCCAGCACAGUUUUAGGCCAUUUUUACUCAAAAUAUGCCUCCGAAAUGGCCUGAAAACAGUGCAAAAAACGGUUUCAAACCGGCCCAAAGCAGGCCAUUUUUUUCAGGCCAUUUGGGGGCUAAAAACAGUCCGAAAAACAACUUGAAAACGGCCAAAAAACAGGCAUGCACACUGGCCAGCUGGUUUUCAGGUUUCCGGCACUCCAGUCUCACACACAUGCACGCAUUCUAGUUUGGGCACUCGGUGCCCAAAAGGUUUGCCAUCACUGAUAUAGGGGUAUUCAAAGGUGGGAGAGUCAAGGCAGAAAAAUAGUUUUCAAUAAGAAAUAGAUAAAUCUGUGAAGACUGAAACUAUCAGUGGUUAUUAAUUAUGACAGUUAUAAAAAUAUGAUAUAUGACACACUAUUCUAGUGUGAAUAUUUUUACAAUAUUUUUAAGAAUGGCAGGAAGUUACCUGGCCUAUUUUAAAAUCCAAAC
Thamnophis elegans (Western terrestrial garter snake) is the source of this 2466-nucleotide long non-coding RNA. RefSeq lists it as uncharacterized. The record is from RefSeq and is a predicted model, not a curated record. The transcript is spliced from 2 exons. NCBI's taxonomy places the organism in Eukaryota, Metazoa, Chordata, Lepidosauria, Squamata, Natricidae.